This 478-nucleotide ribosomal RNA is filed under the name uncultured bacterium. RNAcentral describes it as "partial 16S ribosomal RNA". It matches the Rfam family "Bacterial small subunit ribosomal RNA", at positions 28 to 507 of the family's 1533-position model. The record is from RNAcentral.
GAUGAACGCUGGCGGCGUGCUUAACACAUGCAAGUCGAACGGGAAUUAUUUUAUUGCAACUUCGGUCGAUUUAAUUUAAUUCUAGUGGCGGACGGGUGAGUAACGCGUGGGUAACCUGCCUUAUACAGGGGGAUAACAGUCAGAAAUGGCUGCUAAUACCGCAUAAGCGCACAGAGCUGCAUGGCUCAGUGUGAAAAACUCCGGUGGUAUAAGAUGAACCCGCGUUGGAUUAGCUUGUUGGCAGGGUAACGGCCUACCAAGGCGACGAUCCAAAGCCGGCCUGAGAGGGUGAACGGCCACAUUGGGACUGAGACACGGCCCAGACUCCUACGGGAGGCAGCAGUGGGGAAUAUUGCACAAUGGGGGAAACCCUGAUGCAGCGACGCCGCGUGAAGGAAGAAGUAUCUCGGUAUGUAAACUUCUAUCAGCAGGGAAGAUAGUGACGGUACCUGACCAAGAAGCCCCGGCUAACUACGUG